CGCCUUAUCAGCCAGCUCCAGACCAACAGAGCCCUUCAUAUCCGAGCUGGAAAUACACAGGGCUUCCAGUAACAGGCCUCGCCCAUGGAGCUCUAGCCACAGGAUAACAGCAUGAGCAUGACAGACAGUAUCGGACCUGGACCAUAGCCCGAACAGCAGGUAUUCCCAUUGUGCAUAAGUGGCCUAUCUGAAUCUUUUAUCACACACAACACUGCAAUUUCAAAUGCCAUAAGAGCCACAAGACAAGAGGUAUGUCAGCUUGCCAUAAAUCCAGAGUUCAAAGCAACCAUGAAAACACAAGAUGGCCUGCUUUUCUCUUCCUUAAAGGAAUUCUGGGAGUUGUUUAUAUGAAUUGAGGUUGUUUGUAGCACUCUGGGAGCGUAAGCCAUUCUAAGCAGGAGCAGAGGUUGAGGUUGGAAUGUCAGUGAGGGCCACGGACGACAAACUCUGUGGCAGGACUCCAGAAAACGAUCCCGGGAAGAGCCAGGCCACUGGAGAGAGUCCACUGGAGUCUGCACUAAUGCAUGCUCAAACUAAUGAUGGAGACAAGAAAUGCUCAUCCACUUAUCUUGCUCCCUCGUUUGUAGAGAGUUAGUCAGUCAAUCAGUUACAGACUGAGAAAAAGUUGUUGGCCCAUAACACAUACUUCCCUGUGUACAACAAUUUAAACUAAAAGAAAAGCUGCAAAUGCUUGUAAAUAAUGCACUGUUCUAAUAUGCAGUAAGUGAUCACAUUAGCAAAAUAUUGACCUUUAUAUUUGAAAAAAUAUUGGAUGAUCUGUAAGAUCUAUUUCUUCAAUAGAUCAAUGUGAUUUUGCCACA
This is a long non-coding RNA of Micropterus dolomieu (smallmouth bass), 821 nucleotides long. RefSeq lists it as uncharacterized. The transcript has 3 exons. Lineage: Eukaryota; Metazoa; Chordata; Actinopteri; Centrarchiformes; Centrarchidae. The record is from RefSeq and is a predicted model, not a curated record.